GAUGAACGCUGGCGGCGUGCCUAAUACAUGCAAGUCGAGCGAACGGACGAGAAGCUUGCUUCUCUGAUGUUAGCGGCGGACGGGUGAGUAACACGUGGAUAACCUACCUAUAAGACUGGGAUAACUUCGGGAAACCGGAGCUAAUACCGGAUGAUAUUUUGAACCGCAUGGUUCAAAAGUGAAAGACGGUCUUGCUGUCACUUAUAGAUGGAUCCGCGCUGCAUUAGCUAGUUGGUAAGGUAACGGCUUACCAUGGCAACGAUGCAUAGCCGACCUGAGAGGGUGAUCGGCCACACUGGAACUGAGACACGGUCCAGACUCCUACGGGAGGCAGCAGUAGGGAAUCUUCCGCAAUGGGCGAAAGCCUGACGGAGCAACGCCGCGUGAGUGAUGAAGGUCUUCGGAUCGUAAAACUCUGUUAUUAGGGAAGAACAUAUGUGUAAGUAACUGUGCACAUCUUGACGGUACCUAAUCAGAAAGCCACGGCUAACUACGUG
This 497-nucleotide ribosomal RNA is filed under the name uncultured bacterium. Its description in RNAcentral is "partial 16S ribosomal RNA". It matches the Rfam family "Bacterial small subunit ribosomal RNA", at positions 28 to 507 of the family's 1533-position model. The record is from RNAcentral.